This 542-nucleotide ribosomal RNA is filed under the name uncultured bacterium. RNAcentral describes it as "bacterial SSU rRNA". It matches the Rfam family "Bacterial small subunit ribosomal RNA", at positions 774 to 1316 of the family's 1533-position model. The record is from RNAcentral.
AGUAAAUAGAUACCCGGUAGUCCACGCCGUAAACGAUGAGUACUAGGUGUAGGAGGUAUCGACUCCUUCUGUGCCGCAGUUAAACACAAUAAGUACUCCGCCUGGGAAGUACGGUCGCAAGAUUAAAACUCAAAGGAAUUGACGGGGGCCCGCACAAGCAGCGGAGCAUGUGGUUUAAAUUCGAAGCAACGCGAAGAACCUUACCUAGACUUGACAUCCCCUGAAUAACGUAGAGAUACGCGAAGCCCUUCGGGGCAGGGAGACAGGUGGUGCAUGGUUGUCGUCAGCUCGUGUCGUGAGAUGUUGGGUUAAGUCCCGCAACGAGCGCAACCCUUAUCAUUAGUUGCUACCAUUUAGUUGAGCACUCUAGUGAGACUGCCCGGGUUAACCGGGAGGAAGGCGGGGAUGACGUCAAAUCAUCAUGCCCCUUAUGUCUAGGGCUACACACGUGCUACAAUGGUGAGAACAACGAGAUGCAGUACCGCGAGGUGGAGCAAAACUUCAAAACUCAUCUCAGUUCGGAUUGUAGGCUGAAACUCGCC